AGAAUAAUUUUAACACAGUCAAUGAAAUUUCUACACAACAAUGUUCUUGUCUCAAGUCCAAGAAUGCCUCCUACACCUCCCAUAAUACUGGCUUUCUGGCUGGAGUGCAGUGGCGUGGUCACUGUUGACUGCAGCCUCAAAUUCCUGGGCUCAAGAAAUCCUCCCAUCUCAGCCUCCCAAAACCUGAAGAUUGGAUCUUCUGAGAACAUCAGAGAAAGAAUGUCCUUGCCAUCCACAAUACAGCAAAACUUCAGGACCUUGAACUUUGGGUUCAUAAUCUCACAAGAGGGAAGUUUUUUUGCCGGAAAAAGAUGGCAUCCUUGAUGUGAACAGCUUUUCCCAAGAUCACAGAUCAAGACUUCUAGUUUUUUUUUUUGAGACAGAGUCAUUUUUUUUUUUUUUUUUUUUUUUUUUUUUUUUUGAGACAUAGUCUCGGUCUUGUUGCUCAGGUUGGAGUGGAAUAGCAUGAUCUUGGCUCACUGCAACCUCCGCCUCCUGGGUUCAAGUAAUUCUCCUGACUCAGCCUCCAGAGUAGCUGGGAUUACAGGCGCCCACCACCAUGCCUGGCUAAUUUUUUUGUAUUUUUAGUGGAGACAG
This 597-nucleotide non-coding RNA is filed under the name Pan troglodytes (chimpanzee). Lineage: Eukaryota; Metazoa; Chordata; Mammalia; Primates; Hominidae. The record is from RNAcentral.